AUGGCCAGGCUGGCCAUGCCUGGCCCGUUCGGUGCUGUCCCUGCAGUAAUUGCAAGUGCAAGCACCUCAGCAGCAUCCCUACUAUGAUUUAUGGGCUGAAAUCGCUCUCCCCUGGCCUCUUCCCACCCUCCCCACCUGCCAUUUCCCCGCGGCCGAGCAGGAACAUAUGCUCCUCUCACAAGCAGCCUUUGUCCCUCCCUGCGCUGCUUAUUAAAACCACGUGUCGGAGGGGGCUCCGGCCCUGCAGUGGGGCCUGCCCAUUUACUCUCCGACAGCCUGGAGAGAAGCAGGAGUCAUUUCCUCCGCUUGGGUCUUCUUCCCCCCUCUCCAGCCUUUCCCUUUCGGGGCCUCGUCCCUCUGCUGUAGCCUCCCCUGCUCUUAUUUUCGGUGCACGUCUCGCCUUGCAGCCCCCCAUUUUCAUUGGAGAGGCCCUGGCUUCCCAGGGAGGAGGAGGAUGGCUGGGCAGGGUAGGGCAAGGGGAUGCAAGAGGUCUGCCCUCCCUGCUCGGGAGCGGAGCGGGGCCGGCGUGGCAGGCAUUCGACGUACAAGCCCAGAAGCCGGUUGCCUGUAUCUGGUUGGAGGCUCCUUACGCUGCCUGCCCGGGGCUGCCGUCUUCUUGCAUGCAGACGGCGCUAAGCACCUAUGGGGGCUAUGCAUAGGCCGUGGGAACCUGGAAUACAAGGAUGCUGCUGCUUUUCCUUGCAGGAGCAAGGCAAUGUCCCACCCGGCGCAUUGUCCUGGGGGUUGUGAAAGACCACGGCAGGGAGCUGUGUGUCUGCACGGGGUGGAAAAACUUCUCCGAGCGCCUGGGUCAGCCUGAGCCCGCAGCCGGGCAUGGGAACGGGUGAGAGAGGACUGCAGGGACCAGGAGGAGCAGAGCAAGGAGGACACGCCGCCCAGCCUGGAUGCACGUCGCUUGGCAGGUCCUCGAAGCCUUGUUCAAUGACCCCCCUGGAGCCCUGGCCCUGUUGCCUUUCAUCCCGGGCUGAGGCCAGGCAGCGAGGAGGCAGGGCCGGGACCCGCAUUCCCGCUCCAUCUGUAACAACACGGCGCGUCUAGACUCCCGUGUGCAGAACAUUGCCUGGCCUUGUUCAGCCAAGCUGGCCGGGGCUCGUACCGGUCCCCCCGCGGGGCGGUGCCGGGACAGGAAGGGGCACCUGGGAGCUGGCCCGGGGGCUCCACGCCGACCGCACAGUCUGUUCCUUGGCUGCUUUGAAGGCAGCUCCCCGUGCACAGAGAAACCCUUAUAGACGCACUGGUUUCCAUUUUGCAAUAACAAGCGGAGAAGGCCUUACAGUUUUUCCCUCCCCGCCCCUUCCCCAGCCAAACGCUGGCCUGAUCAAGGGAGAUGUGAAAUGGGUCCCCGCGGGGAGAGCGCAUUCUCCAGCUUACGAGCAGAUGUAGCGGCGAGACGGGCGCUAUGUGUGCACGUGCUCUGCGCGUUGCAGCCAGCUAUCACCAGCUUGCAGACUCGCCCCAGCCCUUUCCCCUUGCCCGCCAGUCUCCUGUCCCUCGUUGCUGAAGUCAGGCCCUGCACGCUCGCAUGCUGGACUGCCACCUCCCACGCUUGGCACCGGUCUGGGAGCCCCAUGAAUGCCCGUGGGAGGAAGGGGGAAGGCAGAGACCUGGCUCAUCAGCUGCUUCCUUGCAUUUGGCCCCUUCUGGGAUGAAACAGCCACGAGGUUCCUUUGCCUAUCGGUGCAGCCGGAGGCCUUAGCAAGGGCAAAGCAAGACAAUAUAGCUGGUAAGGUUACUCUGGUUUUAAUAAUGCAGCGAAACACCUGGGGCAACCUGGGGAUCACAAUAGCAUGGGCAAUUUCAGGAUGACAGGCACUGGCAGAGCUGCUAAGUCCUUCAUCCAGCCCCCGGGAAGGAGCAUGAAUAGAUGCACUGUAGCGUUGAAAGGGGGAAGGAGUCCGGCUGCGCUGGCCUCGUCUCCCCCGGGAGCAGGCUGCAUCUAUCCAGCACGGCGGCCGCAUUGCUCUAUGAGCCUGGCGAUGACGUCCUGGGUAUGGGGCUACCUUCUUGUCAACGCUGGGCCAGCUACUCAGAGCCCUUCUCCUAUAAGUGAGGUCGCUUUUGCACACUCGCUCACAGCCAUGACACACCUGUAUUGGCCAGAGCUUGUGAUGUGCACCUGGCCCACGCAUGGCUCUGUGACCAAUGCUGCACACAGGUACCGUGUUUUCCUGUGUACAACAUGCACCAGUGUAUAAGAUACCUCCCCCCGCACACAGACUACUGAAAAGAAUAAGAUUGUGGUUUUCGGAGUGCCCCAGCCCUUCCCAUUUCCUGGCAGACCCUGGGGGGAUUUCCCCUGGGCAUGGUGCGGGGUGUGCAUGGGGAAAGAGGGUAAUGAGCCAGUGGGUUGACUGUGCGAGGGACAAGGCCGGAGAUGGGGCUGGUGGCUCAUCCAGGCAUGCACCCAAUGGAUGCAUUUCACUUGGUUUUCUCUUUUUGCCGGGGUCUACUUCUAGCAUGCAGAGAUCUGCAUCUGUCCUGGCUGCCUGUGCCUAUUCCCCAUCUCCUCAAUGUGGAAACCUAAGAGUCGGAGGAAGUGGGACCUAGCGUGAAGCCAGGGCUCAGGACACCUGGGUUUUCUUUCCCGGGCUGCCACUGGCCUGCAAAGUGGCCGUGAUAUCUGCUGGAGAUAAAAGCCAGAUCAGCGCUGGGGAGUUGGGGUGGGUCGCACAGCACAAGUGGCUUUGGGAGAGCAGCCACCAGGCUGGGUUAUUUUAGUUCGAGGUACAUUUGGGAAGAGGGGGUGAAGAUUUCCUGUUCUUGCUAACAUGGGUUCACCCCAGCAACCCCAUGCCCCUCAGGCAUUUUGCACACCCAGCUGAUGAGACAAGGGCAUCAUCAAAGAAAAGGGGGCACACGCACCUUCUAAAUUGUAGUCCCGUGUCUUGAGAGCUCAGACUGGGAGGGCUUCGAUUGCCUUCCUAGUGGAGUCCUCCCCGGGGGGAUCGAGGGACCACAGCAGCCCUGAGCCAUCUGCAUCCCCAGGGAUUUCCCAUCCCUCCAAGCCUACGCCGGUCCCCCACCGCACCUGCUCGGGCCCCCCGCAGUCGGAGGCAGCCGAGCUCGUCCCACGCGUCGCGGCUGCACCUCUUCCCCUCCGUCCCCCGGCAUCCGUGCAAACCGCAGUCUCGCAGCAUCCGCAAGCCAAACCCAACCAGCCCACCUUUACGAGACCACCCGUGCGGCCCCGGGCUCCAGCCGGCCUCGCGGCACAGGACAGCCGGGCUCGCCAACAGCAGCAACAUGUGUUUUAUAUUCUCCCUGGAUGUGUGCAGACUUUCCCGUGUCUCUAUUUAUAGAGGGUGACACGUCUGGGGGCAGUCACCACCGCACAGGCUGGCACUGUUCACUGUAACGCUGUCAUUUGGAGGCCCAGGUGUUGUGAGCCAUGAACGAGGCAGGGAAGCUUGCAGUUGUGCCGAGUGGUUUUGGAGCAACCGGGUGACCGGGGUCUGAUUAGCUCGCUGGGGAUACAAGCGGAGAAGGAGUGCGAUUGUCUCUGUCUGGGCUCAGCGGAUGUCUAGCCAUGUGCGACGGCACGUCGGGGGAGUGGUGAUAGCCAGGAGGGCGACCCACUCUUCUCCGUGUCCGCAGGGGCAGCACCAGGAAGUCGUGGGAUGAAACUGCGCCUGGAGAGAUCAAAGUUGGGUCUUAGGAAGAUCCCUCUAAUGAUAAGCCCUGGACCGGACUCCCCAGAGCGGUGGUGGGAUUUCUUUCAUGGGAAGCUUUUAAAUACAGGGUAGACACAUGCGUCUGGGCGGGUUUCGACAGGGAGGAUCCUGUCUUGAGCAGGGGGCAGAUACCUGCCCUGUUUCCUAUGAGUCCAUGAGGGACUGUCCAGGUCACCCUAUCCGGCAGGGAAAACUCCCCUUGACAUCAGGGCAGCACAGAGAGACCCACACCGAACGCUUUUGAACGUGCCACACACACUGCUGCACUCUGAUCGCCGCUUGUAAUUAUUAUUUAUCUGCCUGGAGAACUGGAGGGUGAGCUAAGAGUGCCUAAGGCAACAUCCUACUGGCUCCGAAAGGAUCGGAGGAGCUAUUUUUUGGCUGCUAGACAUCGACAAUGAUUUACUUUCUCCUUUACCAUCCUGGGGGGGGAGACUUUGGCUGGUCAGAUGUCAUUGAGCCCAUGAAACAGCUUCAUGUGAAACAGUUAGUGGCACCUCUGAGAGAUGGGGUCACGGGGAGGGGGGUCCGGACUAUGCCGUGUGUUUGAGGUGUGCCCCGUGGCAAAGCUGGGCCCGGCCCGAGGAGGCAGCUCCGUGAUACUGGCCUGCGUCCCGCUCUCCAUGUGCCGUGCACACUCGCAGCAGCAGGGCUCAGGCGCGUGAUGGAUGGUGUUGCUCUGGGAGCCAAGGGUUUCUGCCACUAGCCAUAACAGGGAGGCCUGGCUUCUUUCCAGCAUCCAGAUGUUUUGCAACAGCAGCCUUCCGCUUCUCCGGGGGCCGGCGUGGGGGGGAGCGGGCCAUGCCAGCCAGUCCACGGCUGCCCGGGCAUCCGGAGAGCCCUAUCUGCUUUGCCUCUGAGCUGGGGAGCCUGGACAAGAUGAGGGGUGAGAUCCUGGAGAAGAGCCCCCUUCGUCUCCUGGCAGGAGGAUACUUUGCUUCCUCGGGUGGGUUGCGGCGAGCAGCCACUGCUUGUCCCACGCUGUGUCCCGGAGAUGAUGGAUCGAGAGGCUUUCAUGCUUCUUCUGGCUGCCUUCCCUUAGCUUGUCAGCACAGGAGCACAGCCCUGGUCCUGAAUUCACAGCUUUCAUCCUGGUACAGCAGCGUGAAGCUCCCAGGUGCCGCAAUCAAGGAUUCCUGGGUGACCCUCAACAGAUGAGGUCUGCCCCCUUUGCAUUGAAGUGCUGGCUUUUGAGGCAUUUUACCUCUCAGAGGUCCCCAAAGGAGCUUCCUAUGAGCGUUGCUGGGGGGGGCUGAAGGCCUUUUCUGCCCCUUUCCGUCUCCACCGGUCAGGCAGGGCAGCAUCCCCUUUGCUCCGUGCUCCACCCCUUGCUCUUCUAACUGCAGUUUCUUCAGUCCAAACGCGUUGUUGCACUGCCGCCACUGCCCCGCGCCGGGGCGCCGGGUGUGUUGGAAUGGCCGCAACAAAAAAAGAGUCAAAUUAGGCGCCUGAUUGCACACAAAUUAGGCUCCUGAUUGCACACCAGGUGCUGAACUCCCCAUGCGAGAGGGAUGUUGCCUUAACAUCUGCGCACAGGUGCACUGAGGCUGGCCCCAGCUCCGAAAUCUGGGCUCCCUUCUGUGUGUCCCACGGGACAGACCCGCUCACACGGCCACGGGCAGCUUGUGCAGAGCUGGCAGAGAUCUAGAUGGGGCUGGUCCCGCUUGGAGCAGGGGGGUGGACUAGACGUGAUCUCCGGAGGUCCCUUCCCACCCUCGUUUUCCACGAGUCCGUGACUCAAUGCCAUAUACAGACGGACAUAACUCACGUCCGCUCUCACUUAAGAUGCACACGCAGCUCCCGCCCCUGCAGUCACUGGGAUGCGCACCGAGGCAUGCUCUCUCCCACACACAUGCGCAUACACACACAUGCACACACUCAGUCGGGGCACACACACGCACUCAUGCACACAGGGGUUUCUGGCCUCGCUCGGAGCAGACAGGCCUACCCAAAUCAGACUCCUCGCUGGGAGCCAGGAUAAAUAUUUUCCGGGGACUUGGCUGGUGGAACAAAGGGGGAAGGAAGCCGCCUGCGUCAGAGACGACGGCGAGAUGGAUUUUUCGGAAGAGCAAGGAGCGUCGAGGGUCCGGGGGAUGAAUGGGGAAUGGACUCGCUUGUCUGACGACUCCUCUGAAAGGACAGAGACCCUCGGAGGUGGGUAAAAGACUCCCUUGUGAAGAACCUCUCGCUGUCUUUCCACAAGCAGGAAGCCCGGCUGGCUGUCGGGCCAACCCACGCCAUGCAGCAUGGCCCGGUGGCGCGAUCUCCAGGUUCCUUCAUUACCUUUCAUGGCGGUGCAGCCAGGACUCCUAGCAAAGUUUGCAGCAGAGUCUGAAACGCCUCCUGCAGUCGGUCUGGGGUGGAUCUCUGCCAUGCCUGCGGUGGGAAGGACAUUGGGUAUGUUUGGAAACUUCACCCUAGUGCAGGGGAGAAGACUGAGCUAUCCAAAUAUGCAUUGUAUCUGUCCAGCUUUGAAGCAUCCUUGCAAAUAAAAGGCCUUUCUGCUGUGAGAA
Alligator mississippiensis (American alligator) is the source of this 6205-nucleotide long non-coding RNA. RefSeq lists it as uncharacterized. The record is from RefSeq and is a predicted model, not a curated record. The transcript has 2 exons. NCBI's taxonomy places the organism in Eukaryota, Metazoa, Chordata, Crocodylia, Alligatoridae.